This 308-nucleotide long non-coding RNA is filed under the name Brassica napus (rape). Its description in RNAcentral is "long non-coding RNA (BNAP_LNC019427)". The record is from RNAcentral. Lineage: Eukaryota; Viridiplantae; Streptophyta; Magnoliopsida; Brassicales; Brassicaceae.
CAAAAUAUCUGUUGAAAAGUAAACUUGAUUUGGAUCAUAUUAUUGGGCUAACAAGUCACUAAUCAUGUUUAGCCCAACCCAAAUUCUGGAAAAGUCUUCCACCUCCAUAAGAUAAAAAUCUAGAUAUUUUGGUAGAAUUAUCUAGAAUUAGAAUUAUAAUAUUUGAGAUAUUUUGUACUUUGGAGGCUAUAAAUACAUUCACUCCCAUUUCAUUUUGUAUCAUCAAGAAGUAUCCAAGUUUGUAAGAAUCAUCUAAGUAAUAAGAAUCCUCUUCUAAGUUAUAAAAGCUUUCUUCUUCACAAAAUUUU